This 661-nucleotide long non-coding RNA is filed under the name Pan troglodytes (chimpanzee). RNAcentral's name for it is "lincRNA". The record is from RNAcentral. Lineage: Eukaryota; Metazoa; Chordata; Mammalia; Primates; Hominidae.
AGGAGGAAAUCCUACAUGUCUGCUCCCGGAGCUGCCACAACCCAUCUUCCCACAACUCGGAACUUGGAAAAAGGAACCCAGGACACGACUUUGCUUUUCUUUUGGACCUAGUUGAAGUCACAGCUUGGAGGAAACCAGUUUGCACUGUUUGAGGAGGAAUUUGGCCACCAAACCACUGAUACUUUCCCAAAGAUACAAGUUAACAGGAUAUGCUUCUGGCCUGUUUCUGGAUUCUAAGGGUAGAACCAGCAUAAAACUAGUCAGUCCAAGUAUUUCUAAAGAUCCACAGACACAGUUCUCCUGGAUUUGGGAAGCCUAGAGAUAUUAGCACAAUAAUUAAGGCCCAACAACUUUUAAAAGCCUUUCCACUGCACAGUGAAAGAAAACCACAAACUCCUUGUUUAAUAAGUGGGAUCAUGUGCUUUUAACAAGAGGAAAAGGUCAAUCUGAAGCAACUGAUAUGGAACUGCCAGAGUAGGAGUUGAAAAUCUUCCUAAACUGCUGGAGGAUACACCUCUGAUAGCUUGAGACAAAUAUCCUCUUGAUCAUUGUUUCACCAUAUUUGUCUUUGCUCAUGGAGAACCAUUUUGAUCCGUGGUUUAGCCUCCCAGGUGAUUGAACAAUACUGGUGAUCUGAGGCAGACCCUCUGUGACAGAUAAC